CGAACACCAGCGCUGGCCGCAUGGCUUGUUAAAUACAUAAAGAAGCCAAAAAAGUUAAACUAUCCUAUUACUAGAACCCACGCGAGUUCAUGAUUUACUAUUGUAAACAUUCAUAACUCUAUUCUACGUGAAUUUUUAAAGCGAGAUGUUCAGGUGCUAUAUCGGUACAUGUAUAUCUAGUGAACUGAUAAAUCCUACGUAACUAUCGAUCGAUACAGAUAAAUUUCGAUAGGAACAAGUGAUAAGUUUUGUCGUGUUUAAAUUCUAACGACGGUCAUUGCGCUUCAGUCGUGGACAAACAGUUGACUCGAAAUCAGUGUACAUAGCCGUAUUUUAUAAAAAAACAAAAUGUGUUGCGUGUGUAGUUUGAUCUGCAAGAUCCUCAGUUUGAUAGUGUCCUUGCUGUUCAUUGUGGCAGUGGUCCUCCUCAUCCUGUGGGCAACUGGAACUAUCUUCGGAAAAGACGAAGGCACAUCCACAGACGAAGCCACCAACCAACUCCGGCAACUGAUGUACAACAAUCAUCCAAAACUAGUAUAGUUCUAAUAUCGACUUUCUUACUUCAUCACAAGAACUAUUUUCUUACUUCAAACAAUGACUAUAUCAAACCUUGCUAUAAAUAUAAUCUAAGCUUUUGAAACACACUUUCAUUCCCUCUCAAUUUCUAGAAAUUAAUGUAAAUAAUAUGUAUAAGUAUAAAGUAUUCUAGUUGUAAGUUAUUUUAUAUCUUUUUAUUUAUUUAUUAUAAUCAUCGUCGUUAGUUAUAAAUAUAUUUUUAUAUAUUUUGUAACUAGCGUUUAUUUUUUAUAUAAGUAUUAUAAAGGUGAAAUAUAAUUUUGUGGGGAAGUCUGAAAACCUUAGAGAUUUGAAAUCGUGUAACCAUUAUAUGGCCGUGAGGUCGUUGACUUGGCUAUUUACUGAAAUUUGUAUGUUCACCUACGCAGCGAUGUCAUAUGCCUUGGCUGGAGGAUUUGUAAAGAAAUUUAUUCAAAUACCACUAAAGCUAAACGUAUCCACGAUUGGGGAGCAACGACCCCAGAAUACAAGAAUUGAUUGAGACUAAUAUUGUAUCCAGCCAGCCAAGAUAAACGGCUCUGUGUUAUUGUGUGUGCUUUUAUUCGUCAAAAUAAUGACUCAAUAAAAAGUACAAAUUAAUAUGU
Molecule: long non-coding RNA, 1160 nt
Organism: Spodoptera litura
Lineage: Eukaryota; Metazoa; Arthropoda; Insecta; Lepidoptera; Noctuidae
Source: RefSeq, a predicted model, not a curated record